RNAcentral lists this ribosomal RNA (2631 nucleotides) under Salmonella enterica subsp. enterica serovar Enteritidis. RNAcentral describes it as "partial 23S ribosomal RNA". It matches the Rfam family "Bacterial large subunit ribosomal RNA". Lineage: Bacteria; Pseudomonadati; Pseudomonadota; Gammaproteobacteria; Enterobacterales; Enterobacteriaceae. The record is from RNAcentral.
ACUAUCAUUAACUGAAUCCAUAGGUUAAUGAGGCGAACCGGGGGAACUGAAACAUCUAAGUACCCCGAGGAAAAGAAAUCAACCGAGAUUCCCCCAGUAGCGGCGAGCGAACGGGGAGGAGCCCAGAGCCUGAAUCAGCAUGUGUGUUAGUGGAAGCGUCUGGAAAGGCGCGCGAUACAGGGUGACAGCCCCGUACACAAAAGCGCAUGUGCUGUGAGCUCGAUGAGUAGGGCGGGACACGUGGUAUCCUGUCUGAAUAUGGGGGGACCAUCCUCCAAGGCUAAAUACUCCUGACUGACCGAUAGUGAACCAGUACCGUGAGGGAAAGGCGAAAAGAACCCCGGCGAGGGGAGUGAAAAAGAACCUGAAACCGUGUACGUACAAGCAGUGGGAGCACCCUUUGGGUGUGACUGCGUACCUUUUGUAUAAUGGGUCAGCGACUUAUAUUCUGUAGCAAGGUUAACCGAAUAGGGGAGCCGGAGGGAAACCGAGUCUUAACCGGGCGUUAAGUUGCAGGGUAUAGACCCGAAACCCGGUGAUCUAGCCAUGGGCAGGUUGAAGGUUGGGUAACACUAACUGGAGGACCGAACCGACUAAUGUUGAAAAAUUAGCGGAUGACCUGUGGCUGGGGGUGAAAGGCCAAUCAAACCGGGAGAUAGCUGGUUCUCCCCGAAAGCUAUUUAGGUAGCGCCUCGUGAAUUCAUCUCCGGGGGUAGAGCACUGUUUCGGCUAGGGGGCCAUCCCGGCUUACCAACCCGAUGCAAACUGCGAAUACCGGAGAAUGUUAUCACGGGAGACACACGGCGGGUGCUAACGUCCGUCGUGAAGAGGGAAACAACCCAGACCGCCAGCUAAGGUCCCAAAGUCAUGGUUAAGUGGGAAACGAUGUGGGAAGGCCCAGACAGCCAGGAUGUUGGCUUAGAAGCAGCCAUCAUUUAAAGAAAGCGUAAUAGCUCACUGGUCGAGUCGGCCUGCGCGGAAGAUGUAACGGGGCUAAACCAUGCACCGAAGCUGCGGCAGCGACACUGUGUGUUGUUGGGUAGGGGAGCGUUCUGUAAGCCUGUGAAGGUGUGUCGUGAGGCAUGCUGGAGGUAUCAGAAGUGCGAAUGCUGACAUAAGUAACGAUAAAGCGGGUGAAAAGCCCGCUCGCCGGAAGACCAAGGGUUCCUGUCCAACGUUAAUCGGGGCAGGGUGAGUCGACCCCUAAGGCGAGGCCGAAAGGCGUAGUCGAUGGGAAACGGGUUAAUAUUCCCGUACUUGGUGUUACUGCGAAGGGGGGACGGAGAAGGCUAUGUUGGCCGGGCGACGGUUGUCCCGGUUUAAGCGUGUAGGUGUGUGUUCCAGGUAAAUCCGGUUCACUUUAACACUGAGGCGUGACGACGAGGCACUACGGUGCUGAAGCAACAAAUGCCCUGCUUCCAGGAAAAGCCUCUAAGCAUCAGGUAACAUCAAAUCGUACCCCAAACCGACACAGGUGGUCAGGUAGAGAAUACCAAGGCGCUUGAGAGAACUCGGGUGAAGGAACUAGGCAAAAUGGUGCCGUAACUUCGGGAGAAGGCACGCUGACACGUAGGUGAAGUGAUUUACUCAUGGAGCUGAAGUCAGUCGAAGAUACCAGCUGGCUGCAACUGUUUAUUAAAAACACAGCACUGUGCAAACACGAAAGUGGACGUAUACGGUGUGACGCCUGCCCGGUGCCGGAAGGUUAAUUGAUGGGGUCAGCGCAAGCGAAGCUCCUGAUCGAAGCCCCGGUAAACGGCGGCCGUAACUAUAACGGUCCUAAGGUAGCGAAAUUCCUUGUCGGGUAAGUUCCGACCUGCACGAAUGGCGUAAUGAUGGCCAGGCUGUCUCCACCCGAGACUCAGUGAAAUUGAACUCGCUGUGAAGAUGCAGUGUACCCGCGGCAAGACGGAAAGACCCCGUGAACCUUUACUAUAGCUUGACACUGAACAUUGAGCCUUGAUGUGUAGGAUAGGUGGGAGGCUUUGAAGUGUGGACGCCAGUCUGCAUGGAGCCGACCUUGAAAUACCACCCUUUAAUGUUUGAUGUUCUAACGUGGACCCGUUACCCGGGUUGCGGACAGUGUCUGGUGGGUAGUUUGACUGGGGCGGUCUCCUCCUAAAGAGUAACGGAGGAGCACGAAGGUUGGCUAAUCCUGGUCGGACAUCAGGAGGUUAGUGCAAUGGCAUAAGCCAGCUUGACUGCGAGCGUGACGGCGCGAGCAGGUGCGAAAGCAGGUCAUAGUGAUCCGGUGGUUCUGAAUGGAAGGGCCAUCGCUCAACGGAUAAAAGGUACUCCGGGGAUAACAGGCUGAUACCGCCCAAGAGUUCAUAUCGACGGCGGUGUUUGGCACCUCGAUGUCGGCUCAUCACAUCCUGGGGCUGAAGUAGGUCCCAAGGGUAUGGCUGUUCGCCAUUUAAAGUGGUACGCGAGCUGGGUUUAGAACGUCGUGAGACAGUUCGGUCCCUAUCUGCCGUGGGCGCUGGAGAACUGAGGGGGGCUGCUCCUAGUACGAGAGGACCGGAGUGGACGCAUCACUGGUGUUCGGGUUGUCAUGCCAAUGGCACUGCCCGGUAGCUAAAUGCGGAAGAGAUAAGUGCUGAAAGCAUCUAAGCACGAAACUUGCCCCGA